CUCUCCACAGUUUCUCAGGUGUUCUCUUGGUGGCUCUCACCGGAAGUUUUUUGCUUAGAGGCUUGGAGAUGGAGGAGUGGGAUAUGGAGGAGAAGCUGCCGGUCGCCAAGGAGGAGGUGGAGGCUGCGAGCGGCGGCGGCGGCGGCGGCGGCGGCGGCGAAGACGAGGAUGACGAAGAGGAGGCGCUGCCUCACGCCGAGGUGGUGGAUGUGUUUCAGGAGGGGCUCGCCAUGAUCGUUCAGGAUCCGCUGCUCUGUGACCUGCCUAUCCAGGUCACUUUGGAGGAGAUAAAUUCUCAGAUAGCUCUGGAAUAUGGCCAAGCAAUGACUGUCAGAGUUUGCAAAGUGGAUGGAGAAGUGAUGCCUGUUGUGGUGGUGCAAAAUGCCACAACCUUGGACCUAAAAAAGGCUAUCCAGAGAUAUGUGCAGCUCAAACAGGAGCGGGAAGGAGGCAUACAGCAUAUCAGUUGGUCAUAUAUAUGGAGAACAUACCAUCUCACUUUUGCUGGAGAGAAGCUAACUGAAGAUGGGAAGAAACUCCGAGAGUAUGGCAUCCGAAACCGAGAUGAGGUCUCCUUUAUCAAAAAACUGAGGAACAAAUGAGCCUUUUGAUGAAAGGAGGAUGCAGGAGGCUGCCAGGAUAAAUCAUCUUCUCAUUCAGCUAUCAACCAUUCCAAGCCCAGGAGUUUUGCUACCCUGCUGAGAUAUUUUCAUCCAGCCCCGAGCAUGACUGGAGAGAAAUGGGAUGUCAAGAGGGAGUUAGCUCCCAAGGAGCAAGAAGACUUGGACCGUGGUGCCUUGGGGGUGACCUGCCUGCUGGGCCCAGCAUCCUCUGAUGUUCUCGCUGUGUUUGCCACCUGUCCCUCCUCUGCACUUGAUGAUGCAUUUGAACCCUGUGGACCUCUGUUUUGUGUAAAACAAAGGAAAUGGGCUACGAUUUCUAUACACCCUGUUUCUAUUGAUGAGA
RNA transcript from Vombatus ursinus (common wombat), 966 nucleotides. It is a transcript of the gene named U11/U12 small nuclear ribonucleoprotein 25 kDa protein, with no coding region annotated. The transcript has 7 exons. NCBI's taxonomy places the organism in Eukaryota, Metazoa, Chordata, Mammalia, Diprotodontia, Vombatidae. The record is from RefSeq and is a predicted model, not a curated record.